GUGUUGCUCGAGGGGAGAGGUCAGCGCUGCCCUUGACAAGGAUGCAGGAGGCCCUGGGCCUGACAACGUGCACACUGUUAACACUUACUUUAC
Small nuclear RNA from Heterocephalus glaber (naked mole-rat), 93 nucleotides. The record is from Ensembl. NCBI's taxonomy places the organism in Eukaryota, Metazoa, Chordata, Mammalia, Rodentia, Bathyergidae.